AGUAAAUAGAUACCCGGGUAGUCCACGCCGUAAACGAUGUCGACUUGGAGGUUGUGCCCUUGAGGCGUGGCUUCCGGAGCUGACGCGUUAAGUCGACCGCCUGGGGAGUACGGCCGCAAGGUUAAACUCAAAUGAAUUGACGGGGGCCCGCACAAGCGGUGGAGCAUGUGGUUUAAUUCGAUGCAACGCGAAGAACCUUACCUACUCUUGACAUCCAGAGAACUUAGCAGAGAUGCUUUGGUGCCUUCGGGAACUCUGAGACAGGUGCUGCAUGGCUGUCGUCAGCUCGUGUUGUGAAAUGUUGGGUUAAGUCCCGCAACGAGCGCAACCCUUAUCCUUUGUUGCCAGCGGUCCGGCCGGGAACUCAAAGGAGACUGCCAGUGAUAAACUGGAGGAAGGUGGGGAUGACGUCAAGUCAUCAUGGCCCUUACGAGUAGGGCUACACACGUGCUACAAUGGCGCAUACAAAGAGAAGCGACCUCGCGAGAGCAAGCGGACCUCAUAAAGUGCGUCGUAGUCCGG
This 522-nucleotide ribosomal RNA is filed under the name uncultured bacterium. Its description in RNAcentral is "bacterial SSU rRNA". It matches the Rfam family "Bacterial small subunit ribosomal RNA", at positions 775 to 1296 of the family's 1533-position model. The record is from RNAcentral.